RNAcentral lists this ribosomal RNA (381 nucleotides) under uncultured eukaryote. Its description in RNAcentral is "partial 18S ribosomal RNA". It matches the Rfam family "Eukaryotic small subunit ribosomal RNA", at positions 592 to 976 of the family's 1831-position model. The record is from RNAcentral.
CAAUAGCGUAUAUUAAAGUUGUUGCGGUAAAAAAGCUCGUAGUUGGAUUUCUACCGAAGAUAGCCGGUCGGGUCUUCGACCUUGUAUCUAGUUUUGUCUUUGGUAUCCUCAUAGGGAACGUUUCUGCGCUUUAUUGCGUGGUGCGGUAUCUAUGACUUUUACUUUGAGGAAAUUAGAGUGUUCACGGCAGGCAAACGCCUUGAAUAUAUUAGCAUGGAAUAAUAACAUAGGAUCUUCGUCCUAUUUUGUUGGUUUCUAGGGCUAAGAUAAUGAUUAAUAGGGAUAAUUGGGGGCAUCUGUAUCAACGCGUCAGAGGUGGAAUUCUUGGAUUGCGUUGCGACAAACUACUGCGAAAGCAUUUGCCAAGGGUGUUUUCAUUGA